This is a long non-coding RNA of Gorilla gorilla gorilla (western lowland gorilla), 3683 nucleotides long. RefSeq lists it as uncharacterized. The transcript is spliced from 4 exons. The record is from RefSeq and is a predicted model, not a curated record. NCBI's taxonomy places the organism in Eukaryota, Metazoa, Chordata, Mammalia, Primates, Hominidae.
CUUCACUGUCAUAUUUUUCAGGUUUUGGGACUCAGACUGAGCCACUGCUGGCUUCCUUGCUCCUCAGCUUGCAGAUGCCUAUUGUGGGACUUCACCUUACAGUCAUACCCGAUGUGAAGCCUGACUGAGCAGAGUGGAGACCAGCAGCUGCACGUCAAGUGGCCUUCCAGGACUUGACUCCAUAUGCAUGUUCUCGUCCAUGGGCUCAUACCCAGUCCAAAGGACUUUACCCCAGCUCCAUCUUUGCCCAGACACACUUGAGGCUGCAGGGUUUCGGUGACUGUAAAUUGGUCUUGACCCUCUGAGGAAAUGGGGAUGCUGCAGAAGACACUGGCUAAAUUGAUAAAAUGGUAUGUACCAAGUGCUUCUCCUAUCCUCAUCAGGAAGCAGGUGAUCAACUGGGGCCUCCAGCCACCCCUGCUGAUGUUCUCCAGCUGACAGAGGUUUGAAUUCUCCCUGGGAUGGAAACCCCAGAGGGAGGGGUGGGCUGCCAUCUUUGCUGUUUGGGUGACUUAGCUGUUUCAGCCUUUGGGUAUUGGAGAGUCUGAGCUGACUGGGGGCAGAAGAGGUCCCCCAGCACAGCACAGCUGCUCCACCAAAAGGUGGUCAGACUUCUUCUUUAAAUGGGUCCCUGAUCCUGUUCCUCCUCACUGGGUGAAAUGUCCCAACCAGGACCUACAGUCACCCCUGUUUGUGUUCUCCAUCCUACAGAGAUUUGUAACCACCCUGGGACAGAGCUCCCAGAGGGAGAGAUGGGCCACUAUCUUUGCCAUUUAGAUGAUUUAGCUGUUCCAGCUUUCAGGCCUCAGAGUAUCUGAGGAACCAGGGGCUGACAUGGACCCCCAGCACAGCACAGCUGCUCUACCAAAACAUGGCCAGACUGUUUCUUUAAGCAGGUCCCUGAUCCCAUUCCUCCUCACUGGGCCGGACCUCCAAAAUGGGGUCUUCAGCCAUCUCCUACAGGUGCCUUUGCAUUGGCAACAGGCCUGUACCAUCCUGGGAUGAAGCUUCAGGGAGGGACUGCUGCUAUUUUUGCUGUUUCACAGUCUUCACUGGUGAUACCUCCAGGUACUGGACUAUCUGAGGCAACUAAGGACUGGAGCAGGCCCCCAGAAUACCACAGCAGCCCUACAGAAAAGAGGACAGACUGUUACAUUGGUGCCCAUUCCCAUGUCUCCUCAUCAGGUAGAUUCUCCAAGCCUAGGCCUCCAGCCACCCCCCGCCAGAGCUAUGAAGCCAGUAGCAACUCAGCAACUCCAUGAACAGAGCCUCCAGCGCCAUCUGAAAGCCCCUCUGCCACUGCCUCUGCAGUGGAACUGUCCUUGCCACCCUCAGACUAACAAAGGAGCAAAGGCCCUAAGUGCUUUAUUCACACCUCCAACAAGCUGCAGUCAACCCAAGGAGAGGAGAUCAGUCUGUUUCCCAUGGGUCCCAUACUCCCUCUCCCACUGCUCAUCACCAGGCAGGGAACCCCUGGCAUGGACCCACGGCACAGAUGCUCCACCUUGAGCUGACUGCACUGAGUGGCUGCUGACCUUCAUCUCUCUGGAAUGGAGCCCCCAGGAGACAAGCAAACAACCCUUGGCCACAACCACUAAUAAGAUCCCUUCCUCUGCUGCUUCCAACUUGAGGAAGGAACAUAAACACUGAGAUCACCCCAGAGCUGCAGUGGGCAGCCCAGGAGUCCCAAGUCAUAAUCACAGCCAGCACUCAAGAGGGAGAGGAACCCACACUUUCAGAGCAUUGUGAGAAAACACAGCUGCAACUGUGAGGAAACAUAGGGGAGCCAUACAACUGACCAAUAAGCCUAAGUGCCACCUGCUGGAUCACACCCCAAAGCGUCAACAUAAAUAAUACCUUACUAACAUAUCCGGCCUCUGAAACCAGAGACAAGAAGUCAGCUUCAAAUAAAGACCCCACACAAAGCCUCAGCCCAGGAAAAACAUCCAGAAAAGAAGUCUAUUGACUGUACUUAAUCUACACUGCGGUUAAAGAAACACCCACACACAGAGAUGAGAAAGAAGCAAUGCAAGAACUCCAGUAACUCAAAUGGCCAGAGGGUCAUAUGUCCUCCAAACGACCACACUAGUUCUGCAACAAUAGUUAUGAACCAUGCUGAACUAGCUGAAAUGACAGAAGUAGAAUUCAGAAUACAGAUAGAAACAAAGAUCACUGAAAUUCAGGAGGAUGGCAAAACCCAAUCCAAGGAAAACAAGAGUCACAAUAAAGUGAUACAAGAACCAAAGGACAAAAUAGCUGGUAUAAAAAAGAACCUAACAGGUCUGACAGAGCUGAAUAACACAACACAAGAAUUUCACAAUGCAAUCACAAGUAUUAACAGUAGAAUAAACCAAGCUGAGGAAAGAAUCUCAGAACUUGAAGACUGAUUCUUUGAAAUAAGAGAGUCAGACAAAAAUAAAGAAAAAUAAAAAAUAAAAAGAAAUGACCAAACCUCCAAGAAGUAUGGGAUUAUGUAAACAGGCUAAAUUUAUGAAUCACUGGCAUCCCUGAAAGGGAGAGGGAGAAAGCAAACAACUUGGAAAACAUAUUUCAGGAUAUUGUCCAUGAAAACUUUCUCAACCUUGCUAGAGAAGCCAACACACAAAUUCAGGAAAUACAGAGAACUCUUGCAAGAUUCUACACAAGGAGAUCAUCCCCAAGACACAUAAUCAUCAGAUUUUCCAAGGUUGAAAUGAAAGAAAGAAUGUUAAAGGCACCUAGAGCGAAAGGGCAGGUCACCUACAAAGAGAAGCCCAUCAGACUAACAGCAGACUUCUCAGCACAAGCCAGAAGAGAUUGGGGAUCUAUAUUCAACAUUCUCAAAGAAAAAGUCUUCAACCAAGAAUUUUAUAUCAAGCCAAACUAUGCUUCCUAAGAUCCUUUUCAGAUAAGCAAAUGUUGAGGGAAUUCAUUACCACCAGGUCUGCCUUACAAGAGAUUUUGAAAGGAGCACUAAAUAUAGAAGGAAAGACCACAACCAGCUAAUACAAAAACACACUUAAACACACAGACGAGUGUCACUAUAAAGCAACCACACAAACAAGCCAACAUAAUAACCAGCUAACAGCACAACGACAGGAUCAUAUCCACAUAUAUCAAUACUAACCUUUAAUGUAAACAGUCUAAAGGCCUCACUUAAAAGACACUGACUAGUAAGCUGGAUAAAAAAGCAAGACCCAAUGGUAUGCUGUCUUCAAGAAGCCCAUCUCACACUUAAUGGCACUCAUAGGCUCAAAAUAAAGGAAUGGAGGAAAAUCUACUAAGCAAAUGGAAAACAGAAAAAAGCAGGAGUUGCAAUCCUAAUUUCAGACAAAGACAUUAAACCAAUGAAGAUAAAAAAAGAAGGGCAUCACAUAAUGGUAAAGGGUUCAAUUCAACAAGAAGACCUAAUUAUCCUAAAUAUAUUUGCAACCAACAGAGAAGCACAUAGAUUAAUAGAGGAAACUCUUAAAGACCUUCAAAGAGACUUAGACUCCCACACAAUAAUAGUGUACUUAAAAACUCUCCAGCCUUUCGUUUCAGCAGAACUGAGUUCAAUCUCUUUCCUCCAUUGCAAUAGUCUUGAAUAGUCUUCCUUGCCUAUUUAAAUCCAAAAAAAAAAAAAAGAAAGGAGACGACAUUGGGUACAGGUGUGUACAUUGGAAAAACCACUUUAUUUAUUUCCUGAUAAUCUACUGUCAUUC